This 2930-nucleotide ribosomal RNA is filed under the name Bacillus cereus. Its description in RNAcentral is "bacterial LSU rRNA". It matches the Rfam family "Bacterial large subunit ribosomal RNA". The record is from RNAcentral. Lineage: Bacteria; Bacillati; Bacillota; Bacilli; Caryophanales; Bacillaceae.
UUUGGUUAAGUUAGAAAGGGCGCACGGUGGAUGCCUUGACACUAGGAGUCGAUGAAGGACGGGACUAACGCCGAUAUGCUUCGGGGAGCUGUAAGUAAGCUUUGAUCCGAAGAUUUCCGAAUGGGGAAACCCACCAUACGUAAUGGUAUGGUAUCCUUAUCUGAAUACAUAGGGUAAGGAAGACAGACCCAGGGAACUGAAACAUCUAAGUACCUGGAGGAAGAGAAAGCAAAUGCGAUUUCCUGAGUAGCGGCGAGCGAAACGGAACAUAGCCCAAACCAAGAGGCUUGCCUCUUGGGGUUGUAGGACAUUCUAUACGGAGUUACAAAGGAACGAGGUAGACGAAGCGACCUGGAAAGGUCCGUCGUAGAGGGUAACAACCCCGUAGUCGAAACUUCGUUCUCUCUUGAAUGUAUCCUGAGUACGGCGGAACACGUGAAAUUCCGUCGGAAUCUGGGAGGACCAUCUCCCAAGGCUAAAUACUCCCUAGUGAUCGAUAGUGAACCAGUACCGUGAGGGAAAGGUGAAAAGCACCCCGGAAGGGGAGUGAAAGAGAUCCUGAAACCGUGUGCCUACAAAUAGUCAGAGCCCGUUAACGGGUGAUGGCGUGCCUUUUGUAGAAUGAACCGGCGAGUUACGAUCCCGUGCGAGGUUAAGCUGAAGAGGCGGAGCCGCAGCGAAAGCGAGUCUGAAUAGGGCGUUUAGUACGUGGUCGUAGACCCGAAACCAGGUGAUCUACCCAUGUCCAGGGUGAAGUUCAGGUAACACUGAAUGGAGGCCCGAACCCACGCACGUUGAAAAGUGCGGGGAUGAGGUGUGGGUAGCGGAGAAAUUCCAAUCGAACCUGGAGAUAGCUGGUUCUCCCCGAAAUAGCUUUAGGGCUAGCCUUAAGUGUAAGAGUCUUGGAGGUAGAGCACUGAUUGGACUAGGGGUCCUCAUCGGAUUACCGAAUUCAGUCAAACUCCGAAUGCCAAUGACUUAUCCUUAGGAGUCAGACUGCGAGUGAUAAGAUCCGUAGUCAAAAGGGAAACAGCCCAGACCGCCAGCUAAGGUCCCAAAGUGUGUAUUAAGUGGAAAAGGAUGUGGAGUUGCUUAGACAACUAGGAUGUUGGCUUAGAAGCAGCCACCAUUUAAAGAGUGCGUAAUAGCUCACUAGUCGAGUGACUCUGCGCCGAAAAUGUACCGGGGCUAAAUACACCACCGAAGCUGCGGAUUGAUACCGAAUGGUAUCAGUGGUAGGGGAGCGUUCUAAGGACAGUGAAGUCAGACCGGAAGGACUGGUGGAGUGCUUAGAAGUGAGAAUGCCGGUAUGAGUAGCGAAAGACGGGUGAGAAUCCCGUCCACCGAAUGCCUAAGGUUUCCUGAGGAAGGCUCGUCCGCUCAGGGUUAGUCAGGACCUAAGCCGAGGCCGACAGGCGUAGGCGAUGGACAACAGGUUGAUAUUCCUGUACCACCUCUUUAUCGUUUGAGCAAUGGAGGGACGCAGAAGGAUAGAAGAAGCGUGCGAUUGGUUGUGCACGUCCAAGCAGUUAGGCUGAUAAGUAGGCAAAUCCGCUUAUCGUAAAGGCUGAGCUGUGAUGGGGAAGCUCCUUAUGGAGCGAAGUCUUUGAUUCCCCGCUGCCAAGAAAAGCUUCUAGCGAGAUAAAAGGUGCCUGUACCGCAAACCGACACAGGUAGGCGAGGAGAGAAUCCUAAGGUGUGCGAGAGAACUCUGGUUAAGGAACUCGGCAAAAUGACCCCGUAACUUCGGGAGAAGGGGUGCUUUCUUAACGGAAAGCCGCAGUGAAUAGGCCCAAGCGACUGUUUAGCAAAAACACAGCUCUCUGCGAAGCCGUAAGGCGAAGUAUAGGGGGUGACACCUGCCCGGUGCUGGAAGGUUAAGGAGAGGGGUUAGCGUAAGCGAAGCUCUGAACUGAAGCCCCAGUAAACGGCGGCCGUAACUAUAACGGUCCUAAGGUAGCGAAAUUCCUUGUCGGGUAAGUUCCGACCCGCACGAAAGGUGUAACGAUUUGGGCACUGUCUCAACCCGAGACUCGGUGAAAUUAUAGUACCUGUGAAGAUGCAGGUUACCCGCGACAGGACGGAAAGACCCCGUGGAGCUUUACUGUAGCCUGAUAUUGAAUUUUGGUACAGUUUGUACAGGAUAGGCGGGAGCCUUUGAAACCGGAGCGCUAGCUUCGGUGGAGGCGCUGGUGGGAUACCGCCCUGACUGUAUUGAAAUUCUAACCUACGGGUCUUAUCGACCCGGGAGACAGUGUCAGGUGGGCAGUUUGACUGGGGCGGUCGCCUCCUAAAGUGUAACGGAGGCGCCCAAAGGUUCCCUCAGAAUGGUUGGAAAUCAUUCGUAGAGUGCAAAGGCAUAAGGGAGCUUGACUGCGAGACCUACAAGUCGAGCAGGGACGAAAGUCGGGCUUAGUGAUCCGGUGGUUCCGCAUGGAAGGGCCAUCGCUCAACGGAUAAAAGCUACCCCGGGGAUAACAGGCUUAUCUCCCCCAAGAGUCCACAUCGACGGGGAGGUUUGGCACCUCGAUGUCGGCUCAUCGCAUCCUGGGGCUGUAGUCGGUCCCAAGGGUUGGGCUGUUCGCCCAUUAAAGCGGUACGCGAGCUGGGUUCAGAACGUCGUGAGACAGUUCGGUCCCUAUCCGUCGUGGGCGUAGGAAAUUUGAGAGGAGCUGUCCUUAGUACGAGAGGACCGGGAUGGACGCACCGCUGGUGUACCAGUUGUUCUGCCAAGGGCAUAGCUGGGUAGCUAUGUGCGGAAGGGAUAAGUGCUGAAAGCAUCUAAGCAUGAAGCCCCCCUCAAGAUGAGAUUUCCCAUAGCGUAAGCUAGUAAGAUCCCUGAAAGAUGAUCAGGUUGAUAGGUUCGAGGUGGAAGCAUGGUGACAUGUGGAGCUGACGAAUACUAAUAGAUCGAGGACUUAACCAUAUAA